CUACAAAGUCUACGCACCCUGAAGAAACAUUGUGAAGAUUACUGUGAGACAACUGGGGGAAAGUGGGACGGAUCGAUCAUCAGUAGACAACAUUAAAAGAACCGUCUCAAAGCAGCAAGUAUGAUUUAACAGACAAGUCGUCUCCGGUGGACACAGGAUUUGGAAAAACUGAACUAAUCACAUCAGCGUCACAUUCAGUGGGUCUUAAAGGAACUUUGCAAGCAAUAUCAUAGGGAUUGUAAAGAUGCCGCUGUAGACUAUAUUAAAACGGACGUUCAAAGUGCUGCAGGGUAUAGGGAGGUAAUGAGAAAUAAGCUCUGCAAGUUUUAGAACAGAUGGGCUUUGCUCAGUCGUCUCAGAAUCAAUAGUCCGAUGCUUUGUGGACCCUCUAGAAGACUGAUGAAUUUAAGUGAUGGUUUGUAGCGUCAGGUGCUGAUGAGAAAUGCUCUGUGGAAUAAGUCAGACGCCUGAUAUCACAAUGCUCUGCAGAUUCAGUAACGAAGCAAUGGAGCAAUGUUCUGCGGACUCAGGUGCUGAUUGGAAGAUACUCUGCAGGCUCAGUGAAGGACUCAAUGAGCGAUGCUCUAAAGAUCUUGCAGAUCUCUAGUGGAUAUAUGUGGACCCCUGAAUUUUGGGGGUUCACUCCAAAUCCUCUGUGCCUCUUCUGC
Non-coding RNA from Pelobates cultripes (western spadefoot toad), 668 nucleotides. Lineage: Eukaryota; Metazoa; Chordata; Amphibia; Anura; Pelobatidae. The record is from the annotation of a GenBank genome assembly.